UACGUAGGGGCGAGCGUUGUCCGGAAUGACUGGGCGUAAAAGGCGUGUAGGCGGUCCGAUAAGUUUGGAGUGAAAGUCCUGCUUUCAAGGUGGGAAUUGCUUUGAAUACUGUCGGACUUGAGUGCGGAAAGGUAAGUGGAAUUCCCAGUGUAGCGGUGAAAUGCGUAGAGAUAUGGAGGAACACCAGUGGCGAAGGCGGCUUCCUGGUCUGUAACUGACACUGAGGCGCGAAAGCGUGGGGAGCAAACAGGAUUAGAUACCCUGGUAGUCCCU
Molecule: ribosomal RNA, 273 nt
Filed under: uncultured prokaryote
Description: partial 16S ribosomal RNA
Rfam family: Bacterial small subunit ribosomal RNA
Source: RNAcentral